AAAUUUGCCAGGACAAUAUUCUUUCCCUAGUGUUUUCUGAACAGGUUUGAAUUGGGAUGGUAAAUACAUACUAGGUCAGCAUUUGACAGUAGGGGUUUCGAUCUUGUAAUAGAAGCCCAAAGCUACUGCUUCACUCUUUCUUUUCUGAAACUAACUUAACUAAAAGGGCGUGAACAUUGGAUGGUCUUAAAUAGGAUCAGAAAGACAGGGAAGCAUCCCCUAUGAGAUGACUUCCUCAAUGCCUUCCAGCCUGUCUGUGGCAAACCUGGGAAGAAUACAAAUAAAAUGCCAUGAAUCCCAAAAGAGAUGGGCAUCUGUGAUGGUCUUCAUCUGUCCGUGUUUAGACAACUAA
RNAcentral lists this long non-coding RNA (352 nucleotides) under Anser brachyrhynchus (Pink-footed goose). RNAcentral describes it as "lncRNA (ENSABRG00000006031.1)". Lineage: Eukaryota; Metazoa; Chordata; Aves; Anseriformes; Anatidae. The record is from RNAcentral.